ACCUCACUCUGAUUUAGGAACAUUUCUCCUUAUUAGCCUUUCUUUCUUUUUGCCCAUCAAAUACAGAAGUUUCAUAUUUCUAUCGUGUAUGGCGCAUACUAACCUUCAAAGCAAAGGGAAAGGACACUGUGAACAACAAAUGUCCCGUGGCAAACAGAUCUAUCCUCACUGGAUCAAUGGUCUAGUCUGAGAAUGAUGAACACUGGAUGUGCUCAGCAGAGCAAAGGAUUCCGAUGCUGCUACUAUGGAAUAAGCUGGUGUGUUUUGGGGUGCUGAGGCUCACGUUGUAUAUACGUGUAAAUAAAACCAUAUAUCUUAAAGACA
Molecule: non-coding RNA, 324 nt
Organism: Podarcis muralis (Common wall lizard)
Lineage: Eukaryota; Metazoa; Chordata; Lepidosauria; Squamata; Lacertidae
Source: RefSeq, a predicted model, not a curated record